This 202-nucleotide ribosomal RNA is filed under the name Pseudomonas aeruginosa. RNAcentral's name for it is "partial 23S ribosomal RNA". It matches the Rfam family "Bacterial large subunit ribosomal RNA", at positions 2743 to 2925 of the family's 2925-position model. Lineage: Bacteria; Pseudomonadati; Pseudomonadota; Gammaproteobacteria; Pseudomonadales; Pseudomonadaceae. The record is from RNAcentral.
GGGUAGCUAUGUUCGGAAAAGAUAACCGCUGAAAGCAUCUAAGCGGGAAACUUGCCUCAAGAUGAGAUCUCACUGGGAACUUGAUUCCCCUGAAGGGCCGUCGAAGACUACGACGUUGAUAGGCUGGGUGUGUAAGCGUUGUGAGGCGUUGAGCUAACCAGUACUAAUUGCCCGUGAGGCUUGACCAUAUAACACCCAAACA